Molecule: ribosomal RNA, 253 nt
Filed under: uncultured prokaryote
Description: partial 16S ribosomal RNA
Rfam family: Bacterial small subunit ribosomal RNA
Source: RNAcentral
UACAGAGGUCUCGAGCGUUGUUCGGAUUCAUUGGGCGUAAAGGGUGCGUAGGUGGCAGAGUAAGUCUGGUGUGAAAUCCCGGGGCUCAACCCCGGAACUGCACUGGAUACUGCUUUGCUAGAGUACUGGAGAGGAGAUUGGAAUUUACGGUGUAGCAGUGAAAUGCGUAGAUAUCGUAAGGAAGACCAGUUGCGAAGGCGAAUCUCUGGACAGUUACUGACACUGAGGCACGAAGGCCAGGGGAGCAAACGGG